GUAACAAGGUUUCCGUAGGUGAACCUGCGGAAGGAUCAUUAUUGAAUAUUCUUGAUGGGUUGUAGCUGGCUCUCCGGGGCAUGUGCACACUUGUCUUGACUUAAUUCAUCCACCUGUGCACCUUUUGUAGUCUUGGGGGUUGAAAGCAGUCGACUAUCGGAUGGCUAUAAUAGCCUUUCCGGACGUGAGGAAUGCUGAGUGCGAAAGCAUACAGCUCUUCUCAAAUGACUACUCCUCUCCUUCAAGUACUAUGUAUUCAUAUACCACAUAGUAUGUCGUAGAAUGUGAUCAAUGGGAUAAUCAUAUACAACUUUCAGCAACGGAUCUCUUGGCUCUCGCAUCGAUGAAGAACGCAGCGAAAUGCGAUAAGUAAUGUGAAUUGCAGAAUUCAGUGAAUCAUCGAAUCUUUGAACGCACCUUGCGCUCCUUGGUAUUCCGAGGAGCAUGCCUGUUUGAGUGUCAUUAAAUUCUCAACCCCUCCGGCUUUUACGAGUUGUGAUGGGGCUUGGAUAUGGGAGUUUGCGGGUCUUUAUCAAUAAAGGUCAGCUCUCCUGAAAUACAUUAGCGGAACCGUUUGCAGUCCCGUCACUAGUGUGAUAAUUAUCUACACUGUGAUGAUUGCUCUCUGACUAGUUCAGCUGCUAAUCGUCCACUAUGGACAACACUUAAUGAACUUGUUGACCUCAAAUCAGGUAGGACUACCCGCUGAACUUAAGCAUAUCAUA
This 725-nucleotide ribosomal RNA is filed under the name Handkea lycoperdoides. RNAcentral's name for it is "eukaryotic LSU rRNA". The stretch from base 309 to 462 matches the Rfam family "5.8S ribosomal RNA". The record is from RNAcentral. Lineage: Eukaryota; Fungi; Basidiomycota; Agaricomycetes; Agaricales; Lycoperdaceae.